UUGCGUAGGCGGUCCGAUAGAUUUUACUUAAAAGGCCAAGGCUCAACCUUGGUUUUGGGUAAAAUAUCAUCGGACUUGAAAGUUCGAGAGGGUACUGGAACCGAUCAUGGAGCAGUGAAAUGCGUUGAUAUGAUCGGGAACACCAAAGGCGUAGGCAGGUACCUAGCGAAUUUUUGACGCUCAGGCACGAAAGCAUGGGGAGCGAAGCAGAUUAGAGACCUGCGUAGUCCAUGCCGUAAACUUUGUCCGCUAGAUGGUCGAGUUUUUGACUGUCGCAAGGUAACCCGUUAAGCGGACCGCCUGGGGAGUACGAGCGCAAGCUUAAA
RNAcentral lists this ribosomal RNA (326 nucleotides) under uncultured bacterium. RNAcentral's name for it is "bacterial SSU rRNA". It matches the Rfam family "Bacterial small subunit ribosomal RNA", at positions 567 to 898 of the family's 1533-position model. The record is from RNAcentral.